This 245-nucleotide unclassified non-coding RNA is filed under the name uncultured fungus. RNAcentral's name for it is "sequence contains ITS2". The record is from RNAcentral. Lineage: Eukaryota; Fungi.
AACAUCUCAAAACUCUUGUCCUUUGUUGGAUGAUAGUAUUGGAUUUGAGUGAUCCCAAAGGUUUUUCUUCUAAAACUGACUGGGUCACUUGAAAUGCAGAUGCCAGAGUAAUUUCUUCUGAGCGAAAAGCAUAUCCAUUUAGUCCUCUUUUGAGGUCUAUUAACUUUGCUUCAGCUAAUAUAAAGGAAGAUUUUAUUCGAGCUUUAUCGCAGGAAUCUUGUCAUUCUUUAUUGAAAGACUUGUAA